This 820-nucleotide ribosomal RNA is filed under the name Tiliqua nigrolutea. RNAcentral's name for it is "partial 16S rRNA". It matches the Rfam family "Bacterial large subunit ribosomal RNA", at positions 1390 to 2594 of the family's 2925-position model. The record is from RNAcentral. Lineage: Eukaryota; Metazoa; Chordata; Lepidosauria; Squamata; Scincidae.
CACAGCACAAACCAAUAAAUCCCACUAAUACCCGCGAUCUCCUAGAAACCCACAGAGCCACACUAUUACGAUAGAUGAACUAAUGCUAGAACUAGUAACAAGAAAACCCUUCUCUCAGGCACCCCUUUGACCCAGAAAUAGAAAACCUACUGGACAUUAACAGACCAAAACAGGUACAACAACAACCAGCCAAAACUGUUACAACGACUGUCAACCCAACACAGGAGUGCUAAAAAGAUAGAUUAAAAGCCGUAAAAGGAACUCGGCAAAACCUUGCCCCAACUGUUUACCAAAAACAUAGCCUUUAGCCAAACAAGUAUUAAAGGUCCUGCCUGCCCAGUGAAACAAUUUUAACGGCCGCGGUAUCCUAACCGUGCAAAGGUAGCGUAAUCACUUGUCUUCUAAAUAAAGACUAGUAUGAACGGCUAAAUGAGGACAAACCUGUCUCUUACGACCAAUCAGUGAAACUGAUCUUCCAGUACAAAAGCUGGAAUAAAUACAUAAGACGAGAAGACCCUGUGGAGCUUAAAACAACCGCUAACAAGCACUAAAUGCUCCUAGCCCAAAGUUUUAAGUUGGGGCGACUUCGGAACAAAACAAAACUUCCGAGCACAGAACCACCAGUUCUCACCAAGGCUAACAAGCCAAAGUAUAAACCGACCCAGUCAUACUGAUCAACGAACCAAGUUACCCCAGGGAUAACAGCGCUAUCUUCUUCAAGAGUCCCUAUCGACAAGAAGGUUUACGACCUCGAUGUUGGAUCAGGACACCCAAAUGGUGCAGCCGCUAUUAAAGGUUCGUUUGUUCAACGAUUAACAGU